UGGGGAAUAUUGGACAAUGGGCGCAAGCCUGAUCCAGCCAUGCCGCGUGAGUGACGAAGGCCCUAGGGUUGUAAAGCUCUUUCACCGGUGAAGAUAAUGACGGUAACCGGAGAAGAAGCCCCGGCUAACUUCGUGCCAGCAGCCGCGGUAAUACGAAGGGGGCUAGCGUUGUUCGGAUUUACUGGGCGUAAAGCGCACGUAGGCGGACUUUUAAGUCAGGGGUGAAAUCCCGGGGCUCAACCCCGGAACUGCCUUUGAUACUGGAAGUCUUGAGUAUGGUAGAGGUGAGUGGAAUUCCGAGUGUAGAGGUGAAAUUCGUAGAUAUUCGGAGGAACACCAGUGGCGAAGGCGGCUCACUGGACCAUUACUGACGCUGAGGUGCGAAAGCGUGGGGAGCAAACAGG
This 404-nucleotide ribosomal RNA is filed under the name Pseudomonas sp. RNAcentral describes it as "partial 16S ribosomal RNA". It matches the Rfam family "Bacterial small subunit ribosomal RNA", at positions 355 to 776 of the family's 1533-position model. The record is from RNAcentral. RNAcentral also lists the same sequence under 3 other names. Lineage: Bacteria; Pseudomonadati; Pseudomonadota; Gammaproteobacteria; Pseudomonadales; Pseudomonadaceae.